Molecule: long non-coding RNA, 588 nt
Filed under: Prunus persica (peach)
Lineage: Eukaryota; Viridiplantae; Streptophyta; Magnoliopsida; Rosales; Rosaceae
Description: long non-coding RNA (PPER_LNC003547)
Source: RNAcentral
UCAAAUAUGUGUUUUGUUGCACCAAUAGUCCUUUCGUCAAGUUCUUUUAAAUUUUCUGUCAAAAGUGAGGGUAAAUUCGGAAAUUCAUCCACAAUCCUCCUUAUCCUCCACAACUUCAAAAUUUAUAAAUUUGGAAAUUUGGAAAUUCAAAUUGAAUAUCAAAUAAUAAAAAUUCCCACAGGUCUACUACACAAAACUUCAAAACCCUAACCCACCAACCCCUCUUCCCUCUCAACCUCUAGAUGGUUUGCAAACUGACAGCGAACCGAGUCUAAGAAAGAUUCCUCUUGUGUUGAACCUAUGGUUCAACCUUCCAUUCUUGUUCCUUUGGGGAGGUGCAAAGAUUCAUCAUUUCAGUACUUACCUUUUUUCAUUUUUGUUUCAAAAGUCUAUAAAUUUUAGCACCCAUGAGUCAGAUUUAGUGGCUCUUGCAAAAGUGUUGGGUUUUAAAUUGGUGUAUUUGAAUUGGGUUCGAAGAUUAUGGAAGACCGAUGUGAUUUAGGAGAAGGGUUGGUCUCGAUACCCAGAUGGGAUUCAAAGGUUGGUUCUUUUUCCGGCGCGUAUUUUUUGGGUUGUUUUAGAUUGUUG